Molecule: long non-coding RNA, 1120 nt
Filed under: Volvox carteri
Lineage: Eukaryota; Viridiplantae; Chlorophyta; Chlorophyceae; Chlamydomonadales; Volvocaceae
Description: long non-coding RNA (VCAR_LNC001361)
Source: RNAcentral
GCACUUGAGAAAAUGUAAAAAGAAAUCAUAUUUGGAAUUGGGAUAUUUAACUCCACCACAGUGAUUUUCGCAGGCCCAGUAGAAAGGUCUGGCACGCUUUACAGCCCAUUAAUCAUUUGUGACUUCCCUUUCACAGCUUGUUAUCAAUGCAAUCUAGGAAAAAGACGGCAGGCAAAUGAGCCAGCAGGGUGGCUUCCUUUUCUUCGACGACCCCCCGACACCUGGAGAGGGAGAGGGCUUUCCCUCCUGGUACAAACCUUCAAAGAUAAUUACAUAUUUGUAACCUUUACGAAACGGAAAUGAUUCUACUGACGGCUUGCCUUGCGACUGUCCAACUCGCUUGGUGUUAACGGUACCUUGCCGAGUCUUUUCCCAAGUAAAAGAAAUUCGAUCAUAGACACUCAUAAUAAAUUUUGAGGACUGAGGAAUAAACUUCCUGUCAAUGGUUUUCGGAAAGUUGAUGCCCUACCUGCAACGGUGAUGACACUUUUGUCAGGUCGCGUCAAGAGACGGCCAUGGCGCCGCAGUUCCCCCUCAGGACGCAAGCAGAGCCGCGUUGUCGGCCCUAUCUAACAGGAAACGUCCCUCACCUAUGCAACGGCUUGAUACCGAGCGCAUCUGCCUCAACUGCGAAGGCCCAAACCUGCAGAAACGUGACAGAUGACCCUUUCCGCCGGGUUGAUGCCUUAGGAAAGCUGCGGCGCAAUUAGAGCGGUGAGGAGCGGAGAGACAGGGAUGCAACCGUACAGCCCAUGCUGAUUGUGUUGAUGAACGGGCAUUGUCGUGCUACAGGGCGCAGAGCCUGUAGCGCACGGUUGCAGCUACGGUAGCGCAAUCGGUUGUUACAAGAGGGUGCCUCCACUUCCCAGGUCCUUCCUUAGUCUCAGUCCGGCCCUCGUAUCGCAUCAUCAGCGGGCGGUGCAGCUUAGAAAUUUGCCGAUGGCUGAAUAUCAUGCCGGUGAAAUCCACAGGCGCGAUACACCUUUUUCCUAUUUAGGGGGUUCGUUUCUGGUCCAAAACAAGAAAUGAUUUUCCAGACCAGGCGGAUAAAUUAUUCUUUAACCGUGUUCCGCUGGGGUCUCCGAGCGCCUAGAUUCCCUGAUAACAAUAUAAGGUAACU